UACGGAGGAUCCAAGCGUUAUCCGGAUUUAUUGGGUUUAAAGGGUGCGUAGGCGGCCCGUUAAGUCAGAGGUGAAAACUUGCAGCUCAACUGUAAGCGUGCCUUUGAUACUGACGGGCUUGAAUAGACCUGAGGUAGGCGGAAUGUGACAAGUAGCGGUGAAAUGCAUAGAUAUGUCACAGAACACCAAUUGCGAAGGCAGCUUACUAAAGUCUGAUUGACGCUGAGGCACGAAAGCGUGGGGAUCAAACAGGAUUAGAAACCCCAGUAGUCC
This 273-nucleotide ribosomal RNA is filed under the name uncultured bacterium. Its description in RNAcentral is "partial 16S ribosomal RNA". It matches the Rfam family "Bacterial small subunit ribosomal RNA", at positions 524 to 796 of the family's 1533-position model. The record is from RNAcentral.